Molecule: ribosomal RNA, 253 nt
Filed under: uncultured bacterium
Lineage: Bacteria
Description: partial 16S ribosomal RNA
Rfam family: Bacterial small subunit ribosomal RNA
Source: RNAcentral
UACGGAGGGUGCGAGCGUUGUCCGGAAUCACUAGGCGUAAAGGGCGCGUAGGCGGCGCGGGGAGUCAACGGUGAAAGCUCGGCGCUCAACGCCGAGUCGGCCGUCGAUACUCCCGUGCUCGAGCACUGUAGAGGCAGGUGGAAUUCCGGGUGUAGCGGUGGAAUGCGUAGAGAUCCGGAAGAACACCGGUGGCGAAGGCGGCCUGCUGGGCAGUAGCUGACGCUGAGGCGCGACAGCGUGGGGAGCAAACAGG